GCCUACCCCUGGUUUAGUGGUUUGAGCAUCGGACUAUGAUUAUGGAGACCAGGGUUCAAAUCCCAGCUUGGCC
This is a non-coding RNA of Phrynosoma platyrhinos (Desert horned lizard), 73 nucleotides long. The record is from the annotation of a GenBank genome assembly. NCBI's taxonomy places the organism in Eukaryota, Metazoa, Chordata, Lepidosauria, Squamata, Phrynosomatidae.